GGUGCAAAAUAAUUUUCAUUCAAUUUACUUUUAUCCACAUCAUGCAGCAAUGAGCAUUUCGCCAAAUAAAUUUACAGGCAAGUGUAAAAGUUAUACAAAUACAAACACGAACAUACAAAAAAAAUUAAAAAGAAAAGCUUCAGAUUGUACAAAAGAUUGAAAGGAAAACUUCAGAUAUCAUGUAGACCUAAUAAAAAAUAAAAAAAAUGAAAAAUUACAUUUCUUCUCGUUGGAUGCUCAUCACAAGGGAAAUGCAGAUGCCAAGGCACACAAGCUGCAACCUAAAUCAAAAAACAAGAAGCAAGUGCCGCCGCUUUCUUCAUCUUCCUCCCUGGAUCCAAAGCCUUUUCCACGAAUCCGACAAGGACACGAUGAUGUCGGGCAGAUUCACCUCCAGAUCUGCAUGGUGGGAGAGGGGAGAGAGAGACUGGGGAAGCAACUUACCUCAAACCUUGCCCGCACCGGCCGCUCCUCGCCGGGUCCGAGCUUAUCGUCACCUGGAAGGGCACCCUCCACCAUGGAUCCCGCCGGGAGGGUUGGGGAAGUGGCAUGGACCAGAUCCGGCCUUGCGUUGUACCAUGGGAAGAGAGCUGGAGUAGGAGAUGGUGGGGUCUCAUGCGUCGCACGCCGGCAUCCCCCGGGCGCCACCAUCGCCGGCCGCGCAGCUCGUCCCCUCGGCUUCCUCCUCUGGCAUCACCUCAUGACCGCGUGAGAGAAAGGAGAGAGAAAGUGAAAGGAUGGAUGAAGGAGGAGAGAGAAC
RNAcentral lists this long non-coding RNA (760 nucleotides) under Setaria viridis. Its description in RNAcentral is "long non-coding RNA (SVIR_LNC005224)". The record is from RNAcentral. Lineage: Eukaryota; Viridiplantae; Streptophyta; Magnoliopsida; Poales; Poaceae.